RNAcentral lists this microRNA precursor (103 nucleotides) under Marmota monax (woodchuck). Lineage: Eukaryota; Metazoa; Chordata; Mammalia; Rodentia; Sciuridae. The record is from RNAcentral.
AGUGGGAUAGUUGGGUCAAAUAGAGAUUCCAUUGCUAGUUUUUUGAGAAAUCUCCAUACUGCUUUUCAGAGUGGUUACACCCAUUUGCAGUUCCACCAACAAU